AAAAAAAUUGCCGAAAUGCUAAAACUAAAGCCAACACAACGAGACAUCAUCCACAAGUACAAUGCUCAAGACCUUAGCCUCUUCCACGCUCACCCUCACCACGGCCACUAGCAGCGGCAGCUCCACCACCAUUACCUCACCCCUCCUCCACUUCUCAUCCUCACUCUGCAAACCUUUCCUUAAUCCUCUCUCCAAGUCCAAAUACAGGCCCCUCGGACAUCUCUCCAAACGACAUACGACUACCAUGAACCUCUUGAACAAGCUCGGCUUCGGCUCCCCCAGGGCCACACAAUCCGCAGCCGACGCGUCGAUUGCGCAGGGACCGGACGACGACGUUCCAGCCCCUGGCCAGGAGUUCGCACAGUUCGGGGCCGGUUGCUUCUGGGGGGUUGAGCUGGCCUUCCAGAGAGUUCCUGGCGUUACCAAGACCGAGGUCGGGUACACACAGGGGUUCGUGCAUAGUCCCAGCUACGAAGACGUGUGCUCGGGUACCACCAACCACUCCGAGGUCGUCAGGGUCCAGUUCGACCCCAAGGAGUACAGCUUCGACGCUCUCCUGGACGCGUUCUGGGCCAGGCAUGACCCAACCACGCUUAAUCGCCAGGGGAAUGAUGUGGGGACGCAGUACAGAUCCGGUAUAUACUUCUACACGCCUGAGCAAGAGAAGGCAGCAAGAGAGUCUCUGGAGCGUCAGCAGAAGCUCUUGAACAGGAAGAUCGUGACUGAGAUUCUGCCUGCCAAGAAGUUUUACCGAGCAGAAGAAUACCAUCAGCAGUACCUUGAAAAAGGUGGCCGAUUUGGCUUUCAACAAUCUGCUGCCAAAGGCUGCAAUGAUCCGAUCCGAUGCUAUGGCUAAUUAGUUUCUCUUAGGGGCAAGCCCCAGCCAGAGUGGAUAUUCUUGUUACGAGUCCUGAGACUUUAUGAAACGCUACUAUAAUAAAGAAUGCCCAGUGUAUUUUUACCUAUUGGACGUGGAUCUGAAACUAGACGUGUUUUCCAACAAUCAUCAACAUUUGCAUCUGCACUGGUGGCAUGUUUUA
This is an RNA transcript of Juglans microcarpa x Juglans regia, 1040 nucleotides long. It is a transcript of the gene named peptide methionine sulfoxide reductase A1-like, with no coding region annotated. The record is from RefSeq and is a predicted model, not a curated record. NCBI's taxonomy places the organism in Eukaryota, Viridiplantae, Streptophyta, Magnoliopsida, Fagales, Juglandaceae. The transcript is spliced from 3 exons.